Molecule: unclassified non-coding RNA, 390 nt
Filed under: soil metagenome
Description: partial contains 5.8S ribosomal RNA, internal transcribed spacer 2, and large subunit ribosomal RNA
Rfam family: 5.8S ribosomal RNA (bases 1-122)
Source: RNAcentral
GAUGAAGAACGUAGCGAAAUGCGAUACUUGGUGUGAAUUGCAGAAUCCCGCGAAUCAUCGAGUUUUUGAACGCAAGUUGCGCCCGAAGCCAUUCGGCCGAGGGCACGUCUGCCUGGGUGUCACGCAUCGUUGCCCCCCCAAACUCCGGUUCGGGCGGGGCGGAAGUUGGCCUCCCGUGCGUGCCUGCGCGCGCGGUUAGCCCAAAAGCGAGUCCUCGGCGAUGAGCGCCACGACAAUCGGUGGUUUUUUUACCCACGUUCCUCGUCGUGCGUGCCCCGUCGCCCGAACGCGCUCUUGCAACCCUUACGCGUCGCCUCGGUGGCGCUCCCAACGCGACCCCAGGUCAGGCGGGACUACCCGCUGAGUUUAAGCAUAUCAAUAAGCGGAGGA